Non-coding RNA from Malus domestica (apple), 253 nucleotides. The record is from RefSeq and is a predicted model, not a curated record. Lineage: Eukaryota; Viridiplantae; Streptophyta; Magnoliopsida; Rosales; Rosaceae.
AUUAGAAUAUUGACAGGGCAGGAACACUAAAUUUCUGUGAUUCUAACAUCACUCCUGAGGACUUCUUUUAUCUUUGAUGGAUAAUAAAGAAGGGGGUGGGGGGAAGGAUCAUAUUUUUCAUUGAUUCAACUGACAAGGGCUACUUUGUAAGCUUUUGAAAAUAAGUAAACUUUGGGUUUCCUGCUUGUGUUGUGAGGCACAACCACCUUGGAGUGAUUCCAAGGCACCUUCGGUGUGAGACCGUAGGCCAGUG